UACGUAGGGGGCAAGCGUUGUCCGGAUUUACUGGGCGUAAAGAGCGCGUAGGCGGAGAUCUAAGCGUGGCCUGAAAGCCCCCGGCUCAACCGGGGAGUGCGGCUGCGAACUGGGUUUCUUGAGGACGAUAGAGGAGAGUGGAAUUCCUGGUGUAGCGGUGAAAUGCGUAGAUAUCAGGAAGAACACCAACGGCGAAGGCAGCUCGCUGGGACGGUACUGACGCUGAGACGCGAAAGCGUGGGGAGCGAACAGG
RNAcentral lists this ribosomal RNA (253 nucleotides) under uncultured bacterium. RNAcentral describes it as "partial 16S ribosomal RNA". It matches the Rfam family "Bacterial small subunit ribosomal RNA", at positions 524 to 776 of the family's 1533-position model. The record is from RNAcentral.